This 641-nucleotide ribosomal RNA is filed under the name uncultured Parvimonas sp. RNAcentral describes it as "partial 16S ribosomal RNA". The stretch from base 413 to 641 matches the Rfam family "Bacterial small subunit ribosomal RNA", at positions 547 to 776 of the family's 1533-position model. The record is from RNAcentral. Lineage: Bacteria; Bacillati; Bacillota; Tissierellia; Tissierellales; Peptoniphilaceae.
UUUUUUGGAAACAUUUAGACCCCGACCCCCCCCGGGGGCCAAUUAACUUUUAUAAAAGGGGAAAAAAAGUUGGGUCCCGGGCCCCCCCUCGAGGUAGACGGUAUGUUUAGGCUUAAUAUCCACUGAGGAAUUCCCCCUCGGACUAGUAGGGUAUGUAUUCUUGUUCGCUAGGGGUGUUUGAAAGUGUCAGGGUCAGUUGCAGACCAGGUAGUCGCGUUUGCCAGGGAUGUUAUUCAAUAUAUCUAGACAUUCCACCGCUACACAAGGAGUUCCAUUACCUUUUUAUGCACUCAAGUUAUCCAGUUUCGGAUGCAAUUCUCUGGAGAAGCCGAUGUUCCGGAUUUCAGCCAGAGAGAACCGCCUCAUUUCUUUCCAGCACCAAAGGUAAUAAAUAGGCCCCCCCACGUUAUCCGGAUUUAUGGGGAGUAAAGAGAGCGCAGGCGGUUUUCUAAGUAUGAUGUGAAAGCUUUCGGAAUAACCGGAGAAGUGCAUCGGAAAUUUGAUAAAACGAGUGCAGAAGAGGGUAGAGGAAUUCCAUGUGUAGCGGUGGAAUGCGUAGAGAUAUGGAAGCACACCAGUGGAGAAGGCGGCUACCUGGUCUGCAACUGACGCUGAGACUGAAAGCAUGGGUAGCGAACAGG